CAGUAGCGUAUAUUAAAGUUGUUGCAGUUAAAAAGCUCGUAGUUGGAUUUAUGAUGUGAUGCUCGUAAGCCCAUAGUUGUAAAAGACUGUGUCGUGCUGAAACAUCCGUCAUCCUUCCAGGAGAAAAUUUGAAAUUCCCUGAUCUCGGUUGGGGGGUUUCAAGUUUACAUUUUCUUUCUGGAUCUUUUACUUUGAAAAAAUUAGAGUGUUUAAAGCAGACUUGCGUUUGAAUACAUUAGCAUGGAAUGAUAAUAUAGGACUAUUUUGCCUAUUUUAUUGGUACAUGGGCACUUAGUAAUGAUUGAUAGGGAUAGUUGGGGGUGCUAGUACUCAGCGGCCAGAGGUGAAAUUCGUGGAUUCGCUGAAGACUAACUUAUGCGAAAGCAUUCACCAAGGAUGUCUUCUUUAA
RNAcentral lists this ribosomal RNA (409 nucleotides) under uncultured eukaryote. Its description in RNAcentral is "partial 18S ribosomal RNA". It matches the Rfam family "Eukaryotic small subunit ribosomal RNA", at positions 592 to 976 of the family's 1831-position model. The record is from RNAcentral.